This 253-nucleotide ribosomal RNA is filed under the name uncultured bacterium. RNAcentral describes it as "partial 16S ribosomal RNA". It matches the Rfam family "Bacterial small subunit ribosomal RNA", at positions 524 to 776 of the family's 1533-position model. The record is from RNAcentral.
GACAGAGGGUGCAAACGUUGUUCGGAAUUACUGGGCGUAAAGCGUGUGUAGGCGGCUAAGUAAGUCGGAUGUGAAAGCCCCGGGCUCAACCCGGGAAGUGCACUCGAUACUGCUUAGCUUGAGUAUCGGAGAGGUUGGUGGAAUUCUCGGUGUAGAGGUGAAAUUCGUAGAUAUCGAGAGGAACACCGGUGGCGAAGGCGGCCAACUGGACAGAUACUGACGCUGAGACACGAAAGCGUGGGGAGCAAACAGG